AGGGAUCCUCCUAGCCGCCGCCGCCACUCUCUCCCGCAUCUUCCUCGGGAUCCCUCCCGAUCCACCUCCACCCAACCAGAUCGCUGCAGCCAUCCUCCUGCCCAAAUCCCCUCACAGCCAGCCUCCUCCCCUCGAUCCACCCAUCCAGCCCGCAACAGUGUCUCCCCUCGAUGGCUCCAUCGCUCAUGCUCGAGCCCCUCUGCCUCGAUCCACCAGGCGCCUAGCUCGCAGCAACCAACGCACAGGAGAGGAGCUGCUUGAUCCCCUUGACCCCGACCUCUGCGCCCCACGGCCUCCUCCCCGUCGCCUUGGAGCCCGAGUGUGCCACCACCUCCUAGCGCCGCUGCCGGCGACCUCGCCGUACCAGGCCACCCCGGCCAGCCUUCGGCCACCUGGAGCGCCAGGGCAUCUGCUUCAAACCUCUGCGCCACCCGGAGAUCGUCGACGCCGGCCAGAUCCGACGCCCUUGGGACCCGCGUCCCCGCCGGACCUCCUUCCUCUGCGCCAAGUCAGCCCACCAUGCCCCGUUUCGCCUCGACCUCGACCGAGGAGAACAAGCAGCACUGCUGCCUUCUUCAGUUCCGCUCGCACGCCACCUCGCCGGAGAACGUUGUCCUCGCCCGGAUCCCCGCGCCCUGCCAUCUUGUCCAUGCCGGCGAGUUCCUCCCGCGUCGUCGUCUUCUCUGCAUCAAGCCGCGCCGCCGUGCCAAGUCCCCUGCAUCGCGCCCAGCUGCCGGCGCUCGAACCUGCCUGCUUCCACGACCCGCGCUCGCCUCCAGAGGAAGAGUCAACGCACGAGCGUCUCGUGCGUGUUCCAGAUCCAGUGAACCGGCCCAGCCUCCCGAAGCCCAGCCGCUUCUUCGCUUCCAGCCCAGUGGCCCGAUCUUCGGUUUCAUUCCGGAGUUGUGAGGAUUCGUUCGACUUCAUCCAUUUGUCUUCUUCAUGGACUCGUUCUUCUUCCUAGCGGGAUCUCAGUUGCAGGUGCCGACGAUACCAGUGCAGGUGAUGCUACCAGACUCAAGUGGGAGUUCGACGAGGACCUUGGUCGUUACUAUGUUUCGUUUCCUGAUGAUCAGUAGUGGAGCCCAAUUGGGACGAUCGGGGAUCUAGCAUUUGGGGUUGUCUUCUUUUCUUUUGGUUCCGUAGUCGGACCUAUGUGUGUACUCUGAUUAAUGUAUGAUUUAUUUAUGUAUUGUGUGAAGUGGCGAUUGUAAGCCAACUCUUUAUCCCAU
RNAcentral lists this ribosomal RNA (1232 nucleotides) under Triticum aestivum (bread wheat). RNAcentral's name for it is "partial small subunit ribosomal RNA". The record is from RNAcentral. Lineage: Eukaryota; Viridiplantae; Streptophyta; Magnoliopsida; Poales; Poaceae.